Long non-coding RNA from Odontomachus brunneus, 851 nucleotides. RefSeq lists it as uncharacterized. The record is from RefSeq and is a predicted model, not a curated record. The transcript has 3 exons. NCBI's taxonomy places the organism in Eukaryota, Metazoa, Arthropoda, Insecta, Hymenoptera, Formicidae.
AUAUUUCUUAUUCCUUAUUACCAUAUCAAAACGAUACAAUUUUUGUGUAUUUCUCUGUGAUAAAUAUUUUCAGACAGUUGUUUACGGUAUCAAUACAGAGAGAUUAAAAAAUUACAAAAAUUACAUACGCUAAUGCAUCGAGGAGAAGGGCGGAUCGAUUGGUACAUAUAGAACUAUGCGUAUCUCGUGAUACAAUCAUUUUACUGUUGAAGAAGUAUAUUAUAACAAUCAUGCUCUUAGUGUCGAAGCGAUCCUGUGCGCAGCGCAUAAAGAUGGAAAGGUUAGUACAUUUCUAUUUAAUGUACAAUAACCGGCAGUGAAAAUAUUGUAACGCAAUUAAAUGACUAGAAUUUCAUAGCAAUAUAUAUUCAUUCUCAGUCACUACCGUGAAGCUAUCACUGUGGUAAACUAUUAAUUCAACAAUAAUUUCUGUCUCCAGAAGAUAUCAAUUUUAUACUCUCUGUAUAAUAAAACUCUUUCACCCAUUAAUGAAUGUAAGAUUAGACUUAAACAGUUGCACUGAUUAUAUUAAUUUUACGAGUGAUAGUAAAGGACUAAUUUUAUGUACAUAUGGAUUCAAAUAUAAUUUAUCGGAAAGUUGCUUAGUACAUAGCUAUUAAAACAAUUUCUUGCCAGAAAUACUCUUAUAGAGUUUAAUCAUACAUUAGAAAAGAAGUGAAGACAAUACCAAUUUUAGUGAUAUAAAUAAUAAUAGUUUUAGAACGCUUGCCUUUUUACGUUAAUAUACAGUACCCUCCAAUUUUAGACAGAAGAAAUUAGAAUUUUCUCAGAUUUUUUCUUGCGUUUGUGGCAUGUCUCAAAUUGAGAAGAAAGUUUUCCAUUUUGUCCAU